UUUCCGUAGGUGAACCUGCGGAAGGAUCAUUAACGAGUUCAUGCCCUCACGGGUAGAUCUCCCACCCUUGAGUAUUUAUACCUUAGUUGCUUUGGCAGGCCGUGGCAACACCAUGGGCUCCGGCUUAUGCGUGCCUGCCAGAGGAAACAAACUCUGUUUUUAGUGAUGUCUGAGUACUUUAUAAUAGUUAAAACUUUCAACAACGGAUCUCUUGGUUCUG
This 220-nucleotide unclassified non-coding RNA is filed under the name plant metagenome. Its description in RNAcentral is "partial contains small subunit ribosomal RNA, internal transcribed spacer 1, and 5.8S ribosomal RNA". The record is from RNAcentral.